UUUUCUUUAUGUGCAUCAAUCAUCUUCUAUCCAAAAUCAAGCAUAUAUUUUUCAAAUACAUGUGUAGUCAUCUAAGCUUUUUUAUUUCUAAAUUGCUUAAUCUCAAGGUUAUCUAAUAGUAAUAACUUUUCUUUAUGUGCAUCAAUCAUCUUCUAUCCAAAAUCAAGCAUAAAUUUUUCAAAUACAUGAGUAGUCAUCUAAGCUUUUUUAUUUCUAAAUUACUUAAUCUCAAGAUUAUCUAAUAGUAAUAUCUUUUCUUUAUGUGCAUCAAUCAUCUUCUAUCCAAAAUCAAGCAUAA
Molecule: long non-coding RNA, 298 nt
Filed under: Physcomitrium patens
Lineage: Eukaryota; Viridiplantae; Streptophyta; Bryopsida; Funariales; Funariaceae
Description: long non-coding RNA (PPAT_LNC004601)
Source: RNAcentral